AGAGCGAACGCUGGCGGCAGGCCUAACACAUGCAAGUCGAGCGCCGUAGCAAUACGGAGCGGCAGACGGGAGAGUAACACGUGGGAACGUACCCUUUGGUUCGGAACAACCCAGGGAAACUUGGGCUAAUACCGAAUAAGCCCUUACGGGGAAAGAUUUAUCGCCGAAGGAUCGGCCCGCGUCUGAUUAGCUAGUUGGUGGGGUAACGGCCCACCAAGGCGACGAUCAGUAGCUGGUCUGAGAGGAUGAUCAGCCUCAUUGGGACUGAGACACGGCCCAAACUCCUACGGGAGGCAGCAGUGGGGAAUAUUGGACAAUGGGCGCAAGCCUGAUCCAGCCAUGCCGCGUGGGUGAUGAAGGCCCUAGGGUUGUAAAGCCCUUUCGGCGGGGAAGAUAAUGACGGUACCCGCAGAAGAAGCCCGGCUAACUUCGCGCCAGCAGCCGC
This 445-nucleotide ribosomal RNA is filed under the name uncultured bacterium. Its description in RNAcentral is "SSU rRNA". It matches the Rfam family "Bacterial small subunit ribosomal RNA", at positions 26 to 518 of the family's 1533-position model. The record is from RNAcentral.